GAUGGUGUCUUGGUGCUGCAUCCUCCAAAGUCAAGGAACACUGUGUCCUCACAUGGUGGAAGGCGGGAGGGCAAGAGGAAUGAAGCCGUUUCAUGAGGGCUCCUAAACCCACUCCUGAGCUUUGAAAAUGGACUUAACUACCUCAAACCAAUGGGACAUAGUCCCCUGUUACGGUUCCCAGGCUCUUUGUCCUGGGCAGAGCUUGUUGCACCUUCCAGUUCCAGUAAUCAAGGAAGCGGAGUCCCUGCAAUUCUUCAAGGAACCUUGAGAACUCAGGAGGUCCUGGGGUGGCUGCAUCAAUCCUGCAGACCAAUGCCAAUCAGCAGAGGGGCCAUUCCCAGGGCCACAUGGCUGGCUGAGUUGGGCCUUGGCCAGUUCGGCCUCUGUGUAGACACCGUCCCAUCGUCCGGAGAUUCGGCCUCUGUGUAG
This 429-nucleotide long non-coding RNA is filed under the name Papio anubis (olive baboon). RNAcentral describes it as "lncRNA (ENSPANG00000042781.1)". Lineage: Eukaryota; Metazoa; Chordata; Mammalia; Primates; Cercopithecidae. The record is from RNAcentral.